UUUCUGGUAUAAUCUUUCAGAUUUUCAGCGUUUAAAAACGGUGAAUAUUUCAACACAUUUACCAGAUAUAGCAUAAACAAACAUGACUGUAUGAAAUUUGCCCUGAUCUGAUGAUAUGUACGCAUCAUCGAUCUCAAAUUCUAGUCAAAGUGAAGGAAACAAAAUGAUCGACAAACAAAAUAUAAAUAUCGAAAAAUCUGGAUUUGAUGAAAUGCAACUCUACGACGUCGCGAUUGGAUUACCAUGUUGAACUUCAGUUCAAAUGAAAUCGAUAUUGAGACUGAUGGAUAAAAGCAGAGACAUGUUUUGCAGCCCAUUUCAAAUUCAUCAUUACGUCCAUCUCUCAGAUAUACAACUUCGAAAGACAAGCAGUUUUUUUCUGAAACACCCAAUGCAUACAUCUAACCAACAUGUCUACCCACCGUCUGGUGGUUAGAUGUACCCAUGAUAUUCGGAUGGUACUUGCGGGCAGCGGAGGCAGAGCUCUGUCUUUCAUAAGUGCAAGGCAUAGAGUGUCAACAAUGGAGCUUGUCAGGAGAAAGAAUUUUACACCACUAUGGAAUAAGGUAAAGUGGGGUAAUUGUUGCCCCUUUUCACCUAUAACUUCGGCACGCAAGAUAUUUCCCAGCAUAUUCACGAACACCGGCCUGGAUCUUGUAGUGACACCUCUUCUAAUAAUAUUACCUGUAAUUC
Long non-coding RNA from Lineus longissimus, 693 nucleotides. RefSeq lists it as uncharacterized. The record is from RefSeq and is a predicted model, not a curated record. The transcript is spliced from 3 exons. NCBI's taxonomy places the organism in Eukaryota, Metazoa, Nemertea, Pilidiophora, Heteronemertea, Lineidae.